AACAUUAUAAAUAUUUAAACUUUAUGCUACAGGUGAAAUUCUAUAAUUGGCGGGUUUAGAUCGAUAAUAAUACGGGACGGUAUACUGCUGGUGAAAUACUAGAAUUAACGAUCAAAAUACAAUUAUACAAUCUUAAACAUUAAACAAAACAAACAAUAUUAACAAAACAGAUACAAGUUUCUUU
RNAcentral lists this small RNA (184 nucleotides) under Arabidopsis thaliana (thale cress). Its description in RNAcentral is "ATSL044970". The record is from RNAcentral. Lineage: Eukaryota; Viridiplantae; Streptophyta; Magnoliopsida; Brassicales; Brassicaceae.